Molecule: long non-coding RNA, 1799 nt
Organism: Ictalurus punctatus (channel catfish)
Lineage: Eukaryota; Metazoa; Chordata; Actinopteri; Siluriformes; Ictaluridae
Source: Ensembl
GCCAGAACACAUCCGCCCCUUUUCUUUAAAAGGAAAUUCUUCAGAUAUAUGUAGGUUCAACGGCGUUUUGGAGUCAGUUGGGAAGGAAGGAGGAAGUGCAGACGGCUCUAAAAUGUACACACUGCACCUUUAACCAAAAUUUUAAAACACAGCAUAUGGUAUAAAAUAAUAAUCCAUCACCACAAGACACAUGGGAAUUCUUUUUUUUCUUUCUUUCUUUCUUUUUUUUUAGUCCUGGAAAGUCUGAUGUAGUGUGUAUUCGUGUAUGUGUGUGUGUGUGUGUGUGUGUGUGUGUGUGUGUGGUGAAGGGUAGGUAGGGGUAGUGCUGAUUGGUAUCCCAGACAUCUCUGGAGGUCUGGUAGUGUGUAGGUCGUAGGCCAAAGGGGCAGGGGGCUAGAGAGGAACAAAGGAUGGUUUGUGUGUGUGUGAGAGAGAGAGAGAGAGCGACAGAGAGAAAGAGAGAGACAGAAAGAGAGCAAGAGAGAGAGAGAGAGCGAGAGACAGAGAGUGUUAGGGAGAGAGAGAGAGAGCGAGAGACAGAGAGAGACAGAGAGCGAGAGACAGAGAGAAAGAGAGAGACAGAAAGAGAGCGAGAGACCAAGAGAGAGACAGAGAGUGUGAGGGAGAGAGAGAGAGAGCGCAAGAGACAGAGAGAGAGACAGAGAGCGAGAGACAGAGAGAGCGACAGAGAGCGAGAGAGAGACAGAAAGAGAGAGAGAGAAAGAAAGAGAGCGAGAGAGAGAGACAGAGAGCGACAAAGAGAGAGACAGAAAGAGAGCGAGAGACCGAGAGUGAGAGAGAGAGACAGAGAGAGACACAGAGAGUGUGAGGGAGAGAGAGAGCGAGAGACAGCGUGUGAGGGAGAGAGAGAGAGACAGAGAGAGAGAGAAAGAGAGGAGGGAACACUGCUCCCUGUGUGUUUGGGAGUCUGGCCGCUAUUCAGGAGUCACACAGGAAUGUUGGCAUGGCCGACUGGCGUAGGAGGACCGGCAUUCCACACACACACACACACACACACACACACACACACACACACAGUCUUUUUGAGAAUAGCACUGUUUUUAGGUACAGGAGAAAGGAGGGGUCCAAGCACCAACGCAUUUUCACAGCCCCGUACGUUAAUCUUUUUUUUCCACUAGCUUCUGUCUAGCUUUUCUCAAGUUUAUCUUGAGAAGCAUUUUAUCGUAUGUGUAGUUUAUUAUUCUAAAAAAUAAAAACGAAAAAAAAACAACAACAACAAAAAAAAACCCCAGAGUUAACCAGCAGAAGUUUUUCCGUCUCCAGAGUAAAACAGAAUUGUACUUACUCAUGACGUGCCAUGUUUGAUGUUUUAGUAACCUCAGAAAAGCGAGAUAGCUGAGGAAACUGCUGUCUAUAACGGAAGUGCUAACAUGAACUAACUUGCUUCACGGCCACAAUUUUAAACGUAACUUUAAACGGAUUAAAAAAAAAAAGUAUGACGUCAUUCGUUAAUAAAUAAAAAAGCCAAAGGAAGAUUUCCACACUGGUGGAUAAUCCAUCAAGCAGUAGGAAAAUAAUCAACGAAAGCUUCAUCACACCAUCCUGUCGUUGAUUCUUUUCCGAUAACGGCACUUCCUGACGUCUUUAUUCCUUUUAUACAAUGACAAUUCCUUAAUAAAUUCCUUAUUCCCUAAUAAAAUGUUCCCCAACUGACACACGGUGUCUUUUGCUUUUGGCUGAAAGCAUUAGUUUCGAUAGAUUCACCUCAGGGAACUGAAACUGAACAUGUGAUGGUGUUGUAUUAUGACAGUUGAAAUACUAGGACAACUCUAUACACA